Molecule: long non-coding RNA, 1406 nt
Filed under: Homo sapiens (human)
Lineage: Eukaryota; Metazoa; Chordata; Mammalia; Primates; Hominidae
Description: HSALNT0310889
Source: RNAcentral
GUCUGCCACCAGGUGAGAUGUGUUUUUCACCUUCCACCAUGAUUGUGAAGCCUUCCCAGCCAUGUAGAACUUAUUGGAGCAUUCCAAAUUGUAAAAAGCAUCAUAGGAAGUAAGCAUCUGCAACAGAGUGAACCCUCUGGAUAUUUUCCCCCUCCUGGGUAAGGAGAAAGAAUACCAAUACCAACGAGAGAAUUCCCCUUCACCUGUGUUUUCAGCUGUCUUGUUGGUCUGAUUUCAAGGAGAAAAGAGUGGAAAAUAAUUGAUUCAUUUUCUAAAGAUUUUACAGCUUCAGUGAAAGGAACAUAUAACAAAGAAACCAGUUGCCAUGAUGUGAGGAAGCUCAAGCAACCCUAUGGAGAAACGGUUUCCCACAGGGAAAGAUAUCCAGAUCCCUGUCUAACAGCUUCAAUUGAGCACCCAUCUGAAAUAAGCAUCAACCUGUCAACCAUGUGAGUGAGCUGUCUUGGAAGUGGACCCUCCAGCCACAGCUGAGUCAUUCAAGCUGAUGAGUAGAGACAAGCUAUUUCCAAUGGGCCUUAACAAAAUUGCAGAUUUGUGAGCAAAACAAAUAAUUUUUGUUGUUUCAAGAUACUAAAUUUUGGAGGAGUUUGUUAUACAACAAUAGAUAACCAGAAAACCAUGACAUAUGAAUUAUAAAUUUAUCAUUGAGUUGUUGGUUAUCUUUCCACCUCUGAAAAUUAAAUACCUAGCCAGUCAUGAUAAAGAGUAAGGUAAAAAAAGUAUGAAAGUAUGAGAAAUAUAUAUGAAAAAUCAAGGAUGAGCAGAAAAUAGGAUCAGGAAUGAGGCUAAUAUAUAAUGCAUACCACAAUUCUUAAUUUGGAAAAUUUUGUCAAUUUCUAAUAAAGUUAAACAUACAUCCGACCUAUGAGUCAGCAAUUUUACUCUUAUGUAUAUACUCAAAGAAUAUCAAAUAAAGACAUAUGUCCACCAAAACACUCUUAAAGAAUGCUCAUAGUAGCUUCAUUCAUAAUGAUUCCCAAAUGGAAACAAUGGAAAUGUCAUUAAACAAUGAAUGAAGCCAAACACAUGAGUCUACAUACUGUAUGAUUUCAUUGAUAUUAAGUUCAAAAACAUGCAAAUUAAACUACGAUAACAGGAGUUGUAUGGCUGGUUACCUUUGGAGGAAAAGGAAAUGACUAGGAAGGAUCACUUUAAAAAAUCUUCUAUAGUGAUAGGAUCUUUUAUAUAUUGACCUGGAUAAUAGUUACAUGGAUGUAUACAUAUGUAAAAUUAAUUGUGCUAUACACUAAAGGUUUGUGCAUUUGACUGUGUCAAUUAUUUCACAUUUAAAAAUAAAUAAACUGGUAUUGUACUAGAAAAUCCAGAUAUGGCUAUACUCUACUAUUUACUCAGGCACACACAGGCUUUAUUAGUCCAUUUUCAUG